AAAAGCACCUCGCUUUUGUGGGUGUCCAGUGCGCUCGCGAGGAUCCAUGAAAACCCAAUGGAGCGAGUGUCGCAUGUCGCUUUUGAAAAAGGGAAGGCGUGCGGCGACUAUCUCUUUACACCAAGCCGUACCAAUAACCGCAUCAGGUCUCCAAGGUGAAGAGCCUCUAGGCAAGUAGAGUAAUGUAGAUAAGGGAAGUCGGCAAAAUGGAUCCGUAACUU
Molecule: non-coding RNA, 221 nt
Filed under: Spirochaeta lutea
Lineage: Bacteria; Pseudomonadati; Spirochaetota; Spirochaetia; Spirochaetales; Spirochaetaceae
Description: Eukaryotic large subunit ribosomal RNA
Rfam family: Eukaryotic large subunit ribosomal RNA
Source: Rfam by way of RNAcentral